RNAcentral lists this ribosomal RNA (796 nucleotides) under uncultured bacterium. RNAcentral's name for it is "bacterial SSU rRNA". It matches the Rfam family "Bacterial small subunit ribosomal RNA", at positions 57 to 893 of the family's 1533-position model. The record is from RNAcentral.
GCAGUCGUACGAGAGUUUUUAACUCAAGUGGCGGACGGGUGAGUAACACGUAAGAAUUUACCUUUAGGAGGGGGAUAACAAAUGGAAACAGUUGCUAAUACCCCAUAUGCUUUCGAGUGAAAUGGAUUUUUCCGCCUAGAGAGAAGCUUGCGGCUGAUUAGCUUGUUGGUGAGGUAAUGGCUCACCAAGGCGACGAUCAGUAUCUGGUUUGAGAGGACGAUCAGACACACUGGAACUGAGACACGGUCCAGACUCCUACGGGAGGCAGCAGUGGGGAAUUUUCCGCAAUGGGCGAAAGCCUGACGGAGCAAUACCGCGUGAGGGAUGACGGCCUAUGGGUUGUAAACCUCUUUUUUCAGGGAGGAAUCAAUGACGUGUACCUGAAGAAUAAGCAUCGGCUAACUCCGUGCCAGCAGCCGCGGUAAGACGGAGGAUGCAAGUGUUAUCCGGAAUCACUGGGCGUAAAGCGCCUGUAGGUGGUUUAAUAAGUCAACUGUUAAAUCUCGAGGCCCAACCUCGAAAUCGCAGUCGAAACUAUUAGACUAGAGUAUAGUAGGGGUAAAGGGAAUUUCCAGUGGAGCGGUGAAAUGCGUAGAGAUUGGAAAGAACACCGAUGGCGAANGCACUUUACUGGGCUAUUACUAACACUCAGAGACGAAAGCUAGGGUAGCAAAUGGGAUUAGAUACCCCAGUAGUCCUAGCUGUAAACAAUGGAUACUAGAUGUUGAACAGAUCGACCUGUGCAGUAUUAAAGCUAACGCGUUAAGUAUCCCGCCUGGGNAGUAUGCUCGCAAGA